UUCCGGUUGAUCCCGCCGGAGGCCACUGCUAUGGGGGUCCGACUAAGCCAUGCGAGUCGAGGGGGCGUCCCUUCUGGGACGCCACCGGCGGACGGCUCAGUAACACGUCGGUAACCUACCCUCGGGAGGGGGAUAACCCCGGGAAACUGGGGCUAAUCCCCCAUAGGCCUGGGGUACUGGAAGGUCCCCAGGCCGAAAGGGGACCGUUAGGUCCCGCCCGAGGAUGGGCCGGCGGCCGAUUAGGUAGUUGGUGGGGUAACGGCCCACCAAGCCGAAGAUCGGUACGGGCCGUGAGAGCGGGAGCCCGGAGAUGGACACUGAGACACGGGUCCAGGCCCUACGGGGCGCAGCAGGCGCGAAGCCUCCGCAAUGCGGGAAACCGCGACGGGGGGACCCCCAGUGCCGUGCCUCUGGCACGGCUUUUCCGGAGUGUAAAAAGCUCCGGGAAUAAGGGCUGGGCAAGGCCGGUGGCAGCCGCCGCGGUAAUACCGGCGGCCCGAGUGGUGGCCACUAUUAUUGGGCCUAAAGCGGCCGUAGCCGGGCCCGUAAGUCCCUGGCGAAAUCCCACGGCUCAACCGUGGGGCUCGCUGGGGAUACUGCGGGCCUUGGGACCGGGAGAGGCCGGGGGUACCCCCGGGGUAGGGGUGAAAUCCUAUAAUCCCGGGGGGACCGCCAGUGGCGAAGGCGCCCGGCUGGAACGGGUCCGACGGUGAGGGCCGAAGGCCAGGGGAGCGAACCGGAUUAGAUACCCGGGUAGUCCUGGCUGUAAAGGAUGCGGGCUAGGUGUCGGGCGAGCUUCGAGCUCGCCCGGUGCCGUAGGGAAGCCGUUAAGCCCGCCGCCUGGGGAGUACGGCCGCAAGGCUGAAACUUAAAGGAAUUGGCGGGGGAGCACUACAAGGGGUGGAGCGUGCGGUUCAAUUGGAGUCAACGCCGG
Molecule: ribosomal RNA, 934 nt
Filed under: uncultured archaeon
Lineage: Archaea
Description: bacterial SSU rRNA
Rfam family: Archaeal small subunit ribosomal RNA
Source: RNAcentral